This 817-nucleotide ribosomal RNA is filed under the name uncultured Pseudomonadota bacterium. Its description in RNAcentral is "bacterial SSU rRNA". It matches the Rfam family "Bacterial small subunit ribosomal RNA", at positions 71 to 866 of the family's 1533-position model. Lineage: Bacteria; Pseudomonadati; Pseudomonadota. The record is from RNAcentral.
AAAGCCCCGAAAGGGGUAAGUAGAGUGGCAAACGGGUGAGUAACACGUGGGUGACCUGCCUUCGAGUGGGGGAUAACGUCCCGAAAGGGACGCUAAUACCGCAUAACAUGCCGCCUUUGAAGAGGUGGACAUCAAAGCUGGGGAUCGCAAGACCUAGCACUGGAAGAGGGGCCCGCGUCCGAUUAGCUAGUUGGUGGGGUAACGGCUCACCAAGGCAACGAUCGGUAGCCGGCCUGAGAGGGCGGACGGCCACACUGGGACUGAGACACGGCCCAGACUCCUACGGGAGGCAGCAGUGGGGAAUUGUUCGCAAUGGGCGCAAGCCUGACGACGCAACGCCGCGUGGAGGAUGAAGAUCUUCGGGUCGUAAACUCCUUUCGAUCGAGACGAAUUCCUCCGGGGUGAACAAUCCCGGAGGUUGACGGUACCGAGAGAAGAAGCCCCGGCUAACUCCGUGCCAGCAGCCGCGGUAAUACGGGGGGGGCAAGCGUUGUUCGGAAUUACUGGGCGUAAAGGGCUCGUAGGCGGCCAACUAAGUCGGACGUGAAAUCCCUCGGCUUAACCGGGGAACUGCGUCCGAUACUGGAUGGCUUGAGUUCGGGAGAGGGAUGCGGAAUUCCAGGUGUAGCGGUGAAAUGCGUAGAUAUCUGGAGGAACACCGGUGGCGAAGGCGGCAUCCUGGACCGACACUGACGCUGAGGAGCGAAAGCCAGGGGAGCAAACGGGAUUAGAUACCCCGGUAGUCCUGGCCCUAAACGAUGAAUGCUUGGUGUGGCGGGUAUCGAUCCCUGCCGUGCCGAAGCUAACGCAUUAAGCA